RNAcentral lists this ribosomal RNA (449 nucleotides) under uncultured bacterium. RNAcentral's name for it is "partial 16S ribosomal RNA". It matches the Rfam family "Bacterial small subunit ribosomal RNA", at positions 29 to 523 of the family's 1533-position model. The record is from RNAcentral.
AACGAACGCUGGCGGCAGGCCUAACACAUGCAGGUCGAACGAACCGUUUACGGUGAGUGGCGCACGGGUGAGUAACACGUGGGAAUAUACAUUUCGGUAAGGAAUAACGUAGAGAAAUUUACGCUAAUACCUUAUAAUGACUACGGUCCAAAGAUUUAUCGCCGAAGGAUUAGCCCGCGUUAGAUUAGGUAGUUGGUAGGGUAAUGGCCUACCAAGCCUACGGUCUAUAGCUGGUCUUAGAGGAUGAUCAGCCACACUGGAACUGAGACACGGUCCAGACUCCUACGGGAGGCAGCAGUGAGGAAUAUUGCGCAAUGAGGGAAACCCUGACGCAGCCGUGCCGCGUGAGUGACGAAGGCCUUAGGGUUGUAAAGCUCUUUCAGAUGUAAAGAUAAUGACGGUAACAUCAGAAGAAGCUCCGGCUAAAUUCGUGCCAGCAGCCGCCGUAA